UGGGGAAUAUUGCACAAUGGGCGCAAGCCUGAUGCAGCCAUGCCGCGUGUAUGAAGAAGGCCUUCGGGUUGUAAAGUACUUUCAGCGGGGAGGAAGGGAGUAAAGUUAAUACCUUUGCUCAUUGACGUUACCCGCAGAAGAAGCACCGGCUAACUCCGUGCCAGCAGCCGCGGUAAUACGGAGGGUGCAAGCGUUAAUCGGAGUUACUGGGCGUAAAGCGCACGCAGGCGGUUGAUUGAGUCAGAUGUGAAAUCCCCGGGCUUAACCCGGGAAUUGCAUCUGAUACUGGUCAGCUAGAGUCUUGUAGAGGGGGGUAGAAUUCCAUGUGUAGCGGUGAAAUGCGUAGAGAUGUGGAGGAAUACCGGUGGCGAAGGCGGCCCCCUGGACGAAGACUGACGCUCAGGUGCGAAAGCGUGGGGAGCAAACAGG
Molecule: ribosomal RNA, 429 nt
Filed under: Chloroflexota bacterium
Lineage: Bacteria; Bacillati; Chloroflexota
Description: Chloroflexi bacterium partial 16S ribosomal RNA
Rfam family: Bacterial small subunit ribosomal RNA
Source: RNAcentral